GGUUUAGUGCUUUGUACUCCCAGAGCUCUUUUGCAUUUAUUAUCUCAUCUCUGAUCCAUUUUUAGGAUGGCGGCAGCCUUACCUCAUGUCCUCGUGUGUCAUCAUUUCUUUGGAGACAUGACGCUUGGCUGACGGGUCUGGUUUUCCACCUCAUGCUUUGGGCAGCCUAUUCUGGGGGCUAAAGUGAUGGUUUGGUGUGAACGCAGAAGAGAUCAACUGAAGAAUUCCACAAGAUGGACUACAUGGGGGCCAGGAGGUAGCUCAGAGGUACAGCACCUGCCUGGCAAGAGCAAAGUCCUGAGUGUGAUUUCUGGUACCAAAGGAAUAUGGGGCUACAUGGACUAGCAUGAGGACAUAAACUCGUGGCACCCAUAGACUCAGGAAUACCCUGGACAUCUGUGAACUCUGUGAAAGUACAAGUGCAGCCAUUCAUUAAUUGGAAG
Molecule: long non-coding RNA, 443 nt
Filed under: Chinchilla lanigera (long-tailed chinchilla)
Lineage: Eukaryota; Metazoa; Chordata; Mammalia; Rodentia; Chinchillidae
Description: lncRNA (ENSCLAG00000022340.1)
Source: RNAcentral